RNAcentral lists this long non-coding RNA (286 nucleotides) under Lathyrus oleraceus (garden pea). RNAcentral describes it as "Pisum sativum (pea) long non-coding RNA (PSAT_LNC007299)". Lineage: Eukaryota; Viridiplantae; Streptophyta; Magnoliopsida; Fabales; Fabaceae. The record is from RNAcentral.
UUUUAAUUACUAAAACAUCUAAAAGAGUUAACUGUGAAAUUAAAAAAUAAUAGAACCCUAGUAACUAACAUAAAUACCAAAUGUUGGAAGAGAGGAAUAAGACCAAUGACCACACACUCACACGGCGCCAACUGACCAAAAAAUUUAUCAUUGUUUUUUUCAAAAAGCAAAAAGCAAAUAAUAAAAAAGAAGGUGGGGACUCUCUAGAAAAAACUCAGAAUUAACAUUUUCCAAGAUUUUCUUUACUUAUUCACCAUUUUCCUUUUGUUCUUCCACUCUUCAUCAC